Ailuropoda melanoleuca (giant panda) is the source of this 3057-nucleotide long non-coding RNA. RefSeq lists it as uncharacterized. The transcript has 4 exons. The record is from RefSeq and is a predicted model, not a curated record. Lineage: Eukaryota; Metazoa; Chordata; Mammalia; Carnivora; Ursidae.
AAAAGGAAACUAAUCAUCUCAACAAAUACUCCCACCUAAGUUUGCAUUUACAAGGGGCGUUGGAAUCGGCCCUUUGCUACAAAUGUUAAUUAAGCUUCACAGUGUGUGAGGCGUAUCAUUAUUCCCAUUUUAGUGAUGGCCACUAUGGGCAAAGUCACCGAGUAACCCAAGGUCACAGGCUUAAAAAGGUCUGGAUACUUAUCAUUUCAGGUAGUGGUUCCAAUGGGAACAUUUAUUUGGUGGUGAAAAAAAUUAUGUAAUAUAGCCCAGCAUGCUUCCGGUGCUCACUCUAGGAAACGGAUUUAUUUCCCAAGUAAAGUUUGUCUCUUAAAUGGAGUUGGAAUGAGGCUGUGGCUAGGAAGUCCUGACACCCAAGGGCCAGUGAGUGUCUCAGAAACCAGUGAAAGGCGGAGAUCCGGCUGGGGGAGUGGAGAAGCUGGGUCGGGGCCGGCGGCAAGGGGGGGGCGAGGUAGGAGGGAGACCAGGUCAACCGUCCCUUCCCCCACCGGUCCUCUUAGGGGUGGUGGAGAUGUGGGCCGCAGAGCUGCGUGGCUGGGGCUGUGCGGAUUCCCUAAACGCCGCACUUGCGCACAGCCCCUUACGUAACUGUCCGCGCCGGGGAUUCCCUAGAGGGGGUCAUUCUAUUCAACCAUUACACACACCCCGGGCUGGUGCCGCUGCGCCUCCGCCGCCUCACAAAAUGGCGGCGCCCAUAGAGGAGACAGCGGCCGCCUCCUCGGCCCCAUUUUGUGGGAGGCGAGAGAUCUGUCAACAUGGAAUACCUCGGCUGAGGAUGCAUCCGAGUUUGGAGAUUCUGCUUAAGGGAUGGAGCCGAGGGGACCCCGUUCAACGGAAAAUGUCAGCGACUUCUGUUACCUCCAUGCUUUUUUUUUUUUUUCCAUUUUCUCGAAGGAAGCUCCAGAAGCUGCCGGGGAAAGAGCCAGGAGAAAGGGAGAGCUGAAGAUACAGAAUAGAGUGUAAAUAAAUAAUAAAGAAUUCCUAAGAAGGCAGAAGAAGUGACAUCCUGUGGAUUCAUGUGUCUUGAACAGGAGAAAGGAUACCUCUUCCACUAACCAGAGCUAUGUGAACACAGUAACCAAGAUACCCACAAUGAGCUGCACUAGAUGGGAUCUACCAGCACAGUGUAAGGUCCUUCAAACUGAAAGACCAAGAAAACGCAUUUCUUCAGGAGCCGGGGUCAGAGAAAAUUUUGAGUCAGUAAAGAUUACUAUUCAAAAGAACGUGCUACUUAUAAAAGCCAAGAAUUAACUCAUAAAUUUUCGAAUUUAAUUAGAAACCCUCCUAAAUAUAUUUUUAAUAUAGUGAUAGACACAAGCAAGGAUUAGUUGAAAAGUGAAGGCCUGUUUAAUGUUUAAAAAUGUCUAUUGAAUAUUGAAUGCAGAUGGCAUAGGCAUCAAAUAACUAUACUAUAUGGCUAUGUCAUUAUUCCCAACUGUCAGUCACUGAGUUGGAAAGUAGAUUCAACUAUAGAUUGAUUUUUUUUUUUCCAAAAUAUUGUUUUAAAAUGUUUUAUUCACUAACCAUUUCCUCUCCUCCUACACCUGGCUAAUGGACAGUCCUAUGUUGAUUCCCUUGCCACUGAGCCCAUUUGAGUUUGUUACUCCGGUUCCACUGUGCUUUAAAAUCUACCAUUUAACUAAAUCAGCUGAAAGUUAAAACCAAUCAUGUUAUGUUAACCUUAAAUACAGCUGCUUUUACUGAAUUGCCAAUUUGUGUGCAAUCAUCAGCUUGUAUUGAGGGAUGCAAUAAUAAAAUAUCUUCAUAAACUAUGUACUAAAAUAUAGUGAUUACUGUAAGUACGGUAAGUGUUCAUUUUAAUUUUGGGGGGACAGUCUCAGUUUAUACCCGUUGUCCCAGCAUCAUGUUUAAUAGUUCCCCUUUCACUCUCAAAAGGUGCCACAGUUACAUGAUCAGGGUGUUGUUCUUUUCAUUAUACAAUGUCCUAUUUAUGAGGUACUUUGUGAGAAACUUUUGAUCCUGUUCAUAGGGAUCAGUCAUAUCUGUGCUUCUGAACAAUUGGGUUGUUUUUAUUAUAUACACAUGGUGACUCAUAACUACUCAGGUAGCCCUUUUUAAGUUGACCUUAGAAAGCCAGAUUUGCAAGCUGCCUCAAAACAAGCUCAGUGGUAUACAUUUUUAUUUUAAUCUUAUUUCUCUGUUUUUUCUUCUUGUUUCUUUUUUUCUCACCUAUUUCUAAUAUGUAUCUUGAAUUUUAUGCAUUCUUGUCAGCUGUCUUAAGUUCUUUUUGAGAUAAGGCAAUGAGUAAAGCACAAAACAAAUAUAUUGCUUCUAGAACUUAUCUGAUAUACUGGAAUGACUGAAAACAGCUUUUUUUCAACUUCACUGUUUAAUGUUUCCCAUUUUUGUCUCUUUCUUUGAUCCAUGAUAAGUUUUGAAGAGAUUGUCAGAUUUUUACCAAAUUUUUGAUACAUCAUUAAGAGAUGAAGGUUCCUUACUACAAAGUUGUUCUCUGAUCAAUUUGCACCUUAAAACAAAAUACAGCUGGUAACAUUUUUCAAAUGGUUUUAUCUUCUGUGAUUGACAGAGCUUGAAUAGAGAGGCAGUCCAGCUCAGUGGGGAGAAAAAAAGCGCGCAAAAUUUGUUAUCAGAUAAACCUAUCCCUGCCACUUACUAUGUGACUCUGAGAAAGUCUCUAAGUUAUCUAAGUCUCACAUCUUUCACGUAGCUUAUACAUAAUAUUACCUAAUUUGUAGAGAAAUGAGACAACAUGCAUUCAGUACCUGGCAAAUAGGUAUACAGUAAAUUUUACCUACCAUUAUUGUUGUUACCUUUCCGAUUUACAAGUCACUGACAAUAGGGGUUUUGCACUUGAUAAGAACUCUGACUUUUUUUUUUUUAAACAAAAGGGUUUGAAAAUUAAACUGUUUAUGACUUAUCCACUGGCAUCAUAGCAAUCCAGAAUAUUUUUGAAAAGGCUCUCCCGUAGCUAAACACUUAGGCACUGGGUAAAGUACAAUAAACAAACAUUUUUUUUUUUAAAGAUUUUAUUUAUUUAUUUGACAGAGAUAGAGACAG